Molecule: ribosomal RNA, 24 nt
Filed under: Coffea arabica (coffee)
Lineage: Eukaryota; Viridiplantae; Streptophyta; Magnoliopsida; Gentianales; Rubiaceae
Also listed under: 3 other names
Description: partial 28S ribosomal RNA
Source: RNAcentral
UACCCGCUGAGUUUAAGCAUAUCA